UUUAGCUUAUAGACGGUACUGAGGGUCAUUAAAGUUCUGAUAUUCAUUAAUAUUAAAAAUUAGAAUGAGAAUUACUUAUGAAAAGCAGCCAAGAGUAGCUGCUUAAGAUCAAGGGAACAGUGACACAGUGAAAGGGGAAUAAGACAUGUUGGAGAUGGCUCAUGUUGGGUUCUUAGAUUUGCUUUACCGAUUAAACUAAUGCAUCAUUUCCUUUACUAUGUGUUAAAGGCUCAGCAAGCCUUGGUGGUG
Molecule: unclassified non-coding RNA, 249 nt
Filed under: Hevea brasiliensis (rubber tree)
Lineage: Eukaryota; Viridiplantae; Streptophyta; Magnoliopsida; Malpighiales; Euphorbiaceae
Source: RNAcentral